This 78-nucleotide transfer RNA is filed under the name Felis catus (domestic cat). RNAcentral also lists the same sequence under 4 other names. The record is from Rfam by way of RNAcentral. Lineage: Eukaryota; Metazoa; Chordata; Mammalia; Carnivora; Felidae.
GCCAGGGUGGCUCAGUUGGUUAAGCGUCUGACUUCAAUUCAGGUCAUGAUCUUCCGGUUCCUGAGAUGGACCCUGGCA